Molecule: long non-coding RNA, 5014 nt
Organism: Myotis daubentonii (Daubenton's bat)
Lineage: Eukaryota; Metazoa; Chordata; Mammalia; Chiroptera; Vespertilionidae
Source: RefSeq, a predicted model, not a curated record
CGAGGGGUGGGGAAGAGCGGAGAUUGACAACUUCCGCGGGGUCCCGCCGGCCCUGAAAUACUUGGGAGGGAGUUGUGGGUGGGAAAGCAUGCCAGCUCCCUCAGCCAAUUGCAGGGCUCAGCGGCAGUAACGCGGUGAGGCGUGGCGUCCUGGAAGGUGUCUCAAGCAGAGGCAGUGGAAUGGGGCGUGGUUGUGUGACGGACUUUGCUCACAGCCAAUCGUAAGUGAAGACGGCGAGCGGAACGCCGCCUGCGUCACAACGGAGCAAUAAAUUUCCUUGGGUGGGGAAGUGCCCCUCCACCAGUGAGCACCUUUGCGCGCUUGCGUGACAGCUGCGGGCGAUCGUUGCUCUCCUGACAGCUUAAGAGAAGACCAGGAAACUACAGGAGGGUAGUUUAGAGAGUAAAAUAGAAUGCCCCUUCCCUUCCCCCUCCUCUCUGCUGGCCAAUGAGGAACUGAAGCGACUAGGGAGGAGUUUGAGGGCUGGGGCGGGAAACGGCGUACGGUGUUAAAUCACCAAAAGAGGGCGGGGCAAAGGGAGGGUAGGGUAAUUGACGGGCGAAGGAUCCCGGGAAAGGCGAGGGAGUAAUCUCGUCCAAUCGGAGCGAGGUACUGGACUCCUGGGCGGGCCUUGGAGCCUCUCUCGCCCUUAGCCGCAGAGUUGGUAGUUGCAGCAGAAAUGUGUAGCUGUGGAGUGGCUUUGGCACCGCAGUUCUGGAGAAUUAUUUUCGCGCCAGGCUUGGGCAAUCUAGCAUCUACUACUUCAAAGAUUUCUACAAAUCUGCACCCUCCAAGAGGAGGUUUCUCAUAUCAACUUAGUCUCCCACUAAUCCUCACGCCUUCUUCAGCCAAAGGCCUUCAACUACUACAACAGGACCGGUACAAAUUUGCUCAUCCGUGGUUUGUAGAUUUGGGGCUUGCCACUUAACUUUUACUGGGAUCGCUUCCUUGGAAAUUCCGUCUGAAUUUUAAACUUCUAAAGGACAAGGACGUUUUUAGAGCAGUGUUUUCCAUAUAAUGAUGCUUGAUAAAAGUGCUUGGAAAACAGCCAUGAAUGAGACAAAGUCUGCCUGCAUGGAGCUCACCAUCAGUGGAGAAAGCUCACAACAAGUAAAAUUUGACUAUGGAAACAAAGCAGGGAAUAUAUACCAGGGAAAACACUGAUGUGCACACAGAUGUCCACAGAGGUUUAGGUAACCAUAGGGUGACCAACUUAUCCUAGUUUGCUAGGGACUUUCCCAGUUCUAACACCGAAAGUCUCCUGUCCCAGGACCUCCCUACAUCCUGGGCAAACCUGGACAGUUGGACACCCUAUGAACCAAACAAGCAACGACACCUGUUUAUUUGGUCUAUUACAGUGGUUCUCAACCUUCUUAAUGCCACGACCCUUUAAUACAGCUCCUCAUGUUGUGGUGACCCCCAACCAUAAAAUUAUUUCUGUUGCUACUUCAUAACUGUAAUUUUGCUACUGUUAUGAAUCGUAAUGUAAAUAUCUGAUAGGCAGGAUGUAUUUUCAUUGUUACAGAUUGAACAUAAUUAAAGCAUAGUGAUUUAGCACAAAAACAAUAUGUAAUUAUAUAUGUGUUUUCCAAUGGUUUUAGGUGACCCCUGUGAAAGGGUCGUUCGACCCCCAAAGGGGUCGCGACCUACAGGUUGAGAACCGCUGGUCUAUUAUGAGCAAAGCCGAUGGCUAAAUGUUAUGGUGUCAACCUUAAGGGAGCAUGAGCUCUAGGGGAAAGAUGAGGUGCAUGUUCAGGGAAAGAUAACUUCUCAUUCAGGACAAUAUUUGAUGAGUGCCAAGACAAUAAAUUCCAAGGAGCCCACAGGUGGUGUUUGUGCCAAGGUGGAGGAGAUGAGAUUUACGCUUGAGUUGCAGGAUUGGGCAUAAAUGUAUAUGUAUAUGUAUAUGUAUAUGUAUAUGUAUAUGUAUAUGUAUAAUGCUAUGUAUGUGUGUGUGUGUUUCAUGGAAAUUAAAAACAUCAAAUUCAGUGGUCUUACUACUUCCUAGAAGGAAGGUAGAAGGGGAAUGUUGAGAGAAGAAUUGAGAGGGAUACACUGAGGGCUCUAACUAUAUCUGUAAUGCUUUAUGUAUGUAUAAUUUAGUUGGAUAUUUUAUUGGUGGGUGUUUAUUAUACCAUUUUCUACACAGUUUGUAUAUACUACAUGUAUUUUUAAAUUUUGGAGUGGAGAACGUAGGAUCUCUGUAUUUUAUAAAUGAUGAGACUGAGCUGAUACUUGGGCACUUAUAAAAGGGGAAACCCAGAUAUGGAGAGAAUCCUUCUCAACUUGCAUUUGAUCCAGCCAGCAGACACACUGCCAACCCUCAUGCAUUACAGUAGGGAUCCCCAAAAAGGAGCUGGAUAAUGGAAGAGAAAGAGCCUUAAGGACCACCCUCGAGGAUGCCCACGCACAAGAAAAGUGACACUGAAGUAACACCAGCAGAGAAAAAGCUAGAACAACAGAUGGGUUGCUAAAACAAAAAUGAGAGAAAUGCAAUCCUUUAGAUUCCUGGGGAGAAGGAAGUAAUAGCCUGUCAGUCACAGCAGGGAAGAAAGUUAGAAAGAUAAGACAAUUUGACUUGUCCAGAAAAAUAUAUUUAUGGGCUUUACCAAGAAAAAAUUUAGCAGUGCCAGAGGCAAUUGCAAUGAAGAAAAUUCCACUUCAAGAUAUGAAAAUUAACUGGAACUGGACUUGCCCUCUUACCGGUAAACAAGAAAUUGGGUAAAAUGUAUGAACUAUUUGUUUUCAUUGUACAACACAGUGCAGAAUGCAGUGAUCCCUCCAAUAUUCCUGGCUUUCUGCCUGGAGGCACUUUUCAGACCACAAGGAAGGUGGAUCCAAGUAGAUGCGACAAUCUAGCUGAAAUGAAGACCAAAAAAUCAGAGUUUGGGGAGGCUGAGAUGGCUGGAAUUUUUGAGACAGAGUAUCAAAGAAGAGGUACAUACACAUAGACAAAGCCCCAGAAAUCUUGAGUUCUUUGAAUAUUAAGCUGCACAGGAUGCAGCUGCAUGAGACUCAGCAAAGAGAAUUCCUUAGGUUUCUAUAAAUUAUAUAGGUUCCUGAGCUGGGUUGAGAAACAUUCAAGUUCCACCAGGUAGGAUGGAGAGAUCUUGGUGAACCGGUGUGGCAUUCAGAGUUAUUGUGGCUAAGCAGUAGGUCUAAGCUUGUCCUGAAAUUAGAAUUAAAUGACCAACAAACAUUUUUAGAACAAUUUUUAGCCGGAUCUGAGCUUAUAACUUUGGUAUUUAUAAGAUGACUUGGAUUCUUGGGCAAAGAAGAAAACCAUCUUAAGUUGGAGAGAUAAUAAAAUAAAUGAUAAUUUCCAUUAUAAAAUUUUUGUUUGAAAAGUAUAAGAAAAAAAUGAAAAAGGAUAUUUUACAAAUAAUAAAAGCUCUUCAAUUAAGCCACUAAAUAAUUGCCCAUUGAAUACAAAAUCUUUCUAACUAUAUCAAAGUUCAAUGGAUUUAACUUUUGAAAAAUUGCAAGGGCUUUCCUUCAGCUUUAGAAGAAGUCAUGCCCAAUCAACACUUUGGAUGUGUUUGUCUCAAGAUACUUUCAAAUUUAUGGAAAAAGUCAUUGGUAUAGACCAGUGAUGGUGAACCUUUUGAGCUCAGCGUGUCAGCAUUUUGAAAAACCCUAACUUAACUCUGGUGCCGUGUCACAUAUAGAAUUUUUUUGAUAUUUGCAACCAUAGUAAAACAAAGACUUAUAUUUUUGAUAUUUAUUUUAUAUAUUUAAAUGCCAUUUAACAAAGAAAAAUCAACCAAAAAAAUGAGUUCGUGUGUCACCUCUGACACGUGUGUCAUAGGUUCACCAUCACUGGUAUAGACACUGUAGAGAUUUUACAUCUGUCAAAGAAAAAAUUCAGCUAGAUAUGAAAACGUCGUUUUGAUCCCAAUGAAGGGUUCUCCAACUAUGUUGUUGAAAGUCUGAAUUUAUCGAGAUUUUAAAGCAAGAAACAGAUCUUUUUUCUAUUGUUUCAUUCCUCUUAUAUGAUACAUAUUGGAAAUAUUUGUGUUCAGUUUUUGAAGUGUUAUGGAUAUAGUUGUUAAAAAUUAUUCCAUAUAUGUGCAAAUGCUAUGAAUCAUCAGCUUGUUGCAGUGUAGAAAGAAAUAACAAGAAAAUCAGUGUGAUGAUCUUGUUCUUUUCCAAUGCGCAUUGGUUGAGUAAUGGAGGACCUUUACAAAGAUUUCUUGUACUGUUAACUCUAAUUCAAGAUUUUUUGAAAUGAAGGGAAUACCUGCCAAAUAUUCAACAAUCAAAGACAAAAAGACAGUAGUGUGAUUUAUGUUUUCUCACUGAUAUCAUACUGCAUAGUAAUGAGUUAAAUCUGAAGUUCUAAGAAAGAAAAAAUAUAUUUGUGAUCUAGCUAGGAAGUCUAAGAAUUUCUGUCAAAAUUGGAAAUCUUCAUAAUAACCAGCAAUGACAAUUUAACACAUUUUAAACAUGAGUUAAUAUGCCAAUGAUUUUCAUUGUAAGCCAGAGCAUUACGUAAAUUAGUUGCAAAAACUUAAGGAAAUAUAUGAAUAACUAUUAAUAUUGAUGAAUUUAUAAUUGCUUUUAUAUUUAUGUAACACUCCUUUGAAUUCAAUAAUACUGAGAUUAACACAAGAGUUAAUGAAUUACUUAGACAGUUUUGAAACUGGUAGACUUUGCUUCAAAGUCAGAUCAUUUCUCCUAAAAUUAAGGAAACAUGUUUGACAAUAUGGAUGCAAAUAUUUAAAAAAUGGUUUUUGAAACUUGACUCAGUUACUGAAAAACUUUUAAGUAUGUUUGGAAUAACUUGGGCAUGUGAAUCUAUACUUUCAACUACCAAUUGUAGAAUACAUAAAUACAGACUGAAUAUUUCUGGUGCAAAUUUAGCAUUUGAAUCAAAAAGUACUCUAAGUUUGAAAAUACACAUAGAUUUAGAAGAUUUCACAUAUGCAUGUGAAAUACAUAAUUUUUAUAUUGAUUACAUGUUGAAUUGAUAAUAUUUGGGAGAUAUUUGGUUAAAUAAAUCUAUUAAAAUUAA